RNAcentral lists this ribosomal RNA (497 nucleotides) under uncultured bacterium. RNAcentral describes it as "partial 16S ribosomal RNA". It matches the Rfam family "Bacterial small subunit ribosomal RNA", at positions 28 to 507 of the family's 1533-position model. The record is from RNAcentral.
GAUGAACGCUGGCGGCGUGCCUAAUACAUGCAAGUCGAGCGAACAGACGAGGAGCUUGCUCCUCUGACGUUAGCGGCGGACGGGUGAGUAACACGUGGAUAACCUACCUAUAAGACUGGGAUAACUUCGGGAAACCGGAGCUAAGACCGGAUAAUAUAUUGAACCGCAUGGUUCAAUAGUGAAAGACGGUUUUGCUGUCACGUAUAGAUGGAUCCGCGCCGCAUUAGCUAGUUGGUAAGGUAAGGGCUUACCAAGGCGACGAUGCGUAGCCGACCUGAGAGGGUGAUCGCCCCCACUGGAACUGAGACACGGUCCAGACUCCUACGGGAGGCAGCAGUAGGGAAUCUUCCGCAAUGGGCGAAAGCCUGACGGAGCAACGCCGCGUGAGUGAUGAAGGUCUUCGGAUCGUAAAACUCUGUUAUUAGGGAAGAACAAAUGUGUAAGUAACUAUGCACGUCUUGACGGUACCUAAUCAGAAAGCCACGGCUAACUACGUG